This 443-nucleotide ribosomal RNA is filed under the name uncultured bacterium. Its description in RNAcentral is "partial 16S ribosomal RNA". It matches the Rfam family "Bacterial small subunit ribosomal RNA", at positions 338 to 795 of the family's 1533-position model. The record is from RNAcentral.
CCUACGGGAGGCAGCAGUGGGGAAUAUUGGGCAAUGGAGGAAACUCUGACCCAGCAACGCCGCGUGAAUGAUGAAGGUCUUCGGAUUGUAAAGUUCUUUUCUAAGGGACGAAGAAAGUGACGGUACCUUAGGAAUAAGCCUCGGCUAACUACGUGCCAGAAGCCGCGGUAAUACGUAGGAGGCGAGCGUUAUCCGGAAUGACUGGGCGUAAAGGGUGCGUAGGUGGUUUGGCAAGUUAGUAGCGAAACUCCAAGGCUUAACCUUGGAACUACUACUAAAACUGUUGGACUUGAGUGCAGGAGGGGCAACCGGAAGGCCGAGUGUAGCGGUGGAAUGCGUAGAGAUUAGGAGGAACACCAGUGGCGAAGGCGGGUUGCUAGACUGUAACUGACACUGAGGCACGAAAGCGUGGGGAGCAAACAGGAUUAGAUACCCUUGUAGUC